This 866-nucleotide ribosomal RNA is filed under the name Bacillus altitudinis. RNAcentral's name for it is "bacterial SSU rRNA". It matches the Rfam family "Bacterial small subunit ribosomal RNA", at positions 61 to 908 of the family's 1533-position model. Lineage: Bacteria; Bacillati; Bacillota; Bacilli; Caryophanales; Bacillaceae. The record is from RNAcentral.
GUCGAGCGGACAGAAGGGAGCUUGCUCCCGGAUGUUAGCGGCGGACGGGUGAGUAACACGUGGGUAACCUGCCUGUAAGACUGGGAUAACUCCGGGAAACCGGAGCUAAUACCGGAUAGUUCCUUGAACCGCAUGGUUCAAGGAUGAAAGACGGUUUCGGCUGUCACUUACAGAUGGACCCGCGGCGCAUUAGCUAGUUGGUGAGGUAACGGCUCACCAAGGCGACGAUGCGUAGCCGACCUGAGAGGGUGAUCGGCCACACUGGGACUGAGACACGGCCCAGACUCCUACGGGAGGCAGCAGUAGGGAAUCUUCCGCAAUGGACGAAAGUCUGACGGAGCAACGCCGCGUGAGUGAUGAAGGUUUUCGGAUCGUAAAGCUCUGUUGUUAGGGAAGAACAAGUGCAAGAGUAACUGCUUGCACCUUGACGGUACCUAACCAGAAAGCCACGGCUAACUACGUGCCAGCAGCCGCGGUAAUACGUAGGUGGCAAGCGUUGUCCGGAAUUAUUGGGCGUAAAGGGCUCGCAGGCGGUUUCUUAAGUCUGAUGUGAAAGCCCCCGGCUCAACCGGGGAGGGUCAUUGGAAACUGGGAAACUUGAGUGCAGAAGAGGAGAGUGGAAUUCCACGUGUAGCGGUGAAAUGCGUAGAGAUGUGGAGGAACACCAGUGGCGAAGGCGACUCUCUGGUCUGUAACUGACGCUGAGGAGCGAAAGCGUGGGGAGCGAACAGGAUUAGAUACCCUGGUAGUCCACGCCGUAAACGAUGAGUGCUAAGUGUUAGGGGGGUUUCCGCCCCUUAGUGCUGCAGCUAACGCAUUAAGCACUCCGCCUGGGGAGUACGGUCGCAAGACUGAAACUCAAAGGA